UAACCCCAGUCAGGAGCUUACCGGGCACAUCUCACUCGGCUCCUCAACUGAUGCCGACACAACAUGGAGGACACAACACUUCACUGCCUUCAAUGCAUCCAGGAUACAACGGUGCGCCAUGCUUUCAAUCACAAGCACCGCCUCAGCUUGCUCAGAUUUCCUCCAUGCAAUCAUUGCCCUCAAACUCAGUGCCUUGGGGGGCACUGG
RNAcentral lists this long non-coding RNA (207 nucleotides) under Setaria italica (foxtail millet). Its description in RNAcentral is "long non-coding RNA (SITA_LNC004919)". Lineage: Eukaryota; Viridiplantae; Streptophyta; Magnoliopsida; Poales; Poaceae. The record is from RNAcentral.